GGGGGGUGACCGUUGGGGGGUGACCGUUGGGGGGUGACCGUUGGGGUGCCGGCAGCAGCACCACGUCGUUCCUCAGCAGCGGCUGUGCCCGCCCCGGGCCGUAACCUUGGGCUCCCCGCUCCGCCCGGGGCGGCUCCCCCGGUCCCCCCUGGUUCCCCCCGGGUCCCCUCAGCCUCGGUCCCCGGCCCCGGAGCCCGACGUGUGGCUGUCGCUGUGUGCGUGGGGGCGCUUCCCCUCCUCAUCCUCGCUGCCAGCUGUGCAGCUCGCCGUAGUUCCUUCAGAGCAUCCGGAUUUUGUCAGGGCUGGGCGGUUUGACAAAUGUUUCUGUGGAGGAAAGGAUGUCAUCUACAAUGGGAAUUUCUACGGAGUAAUUUCUGAUUUUCAAAAAAAGGAAGAGUUUCCCAGCACAUCAGCCUAAUUAGGCUACUGUUUUUCCAUCCGGUCCAGAGCUACUUUGUAAGUUACUUGUUUACAAACUAGAAAUUAUAAGUGGAAUGGAAUUUGCAAAUUCUAUUCCAAUUCUAUUCCUUGCGCCCUCCUUCCUCUCUUUCUGUCUCUGAGUUUAAGCUUUCAGUCCACUAUUGUAUCGCUCUUUUAAUCAAUUCCCUAUAGAUUAACAAGUGUAUGACUUGGUUUCACAUACAUUAUCCCAUAAUUAGUAAAAAUAAAAGUGAUUAUGAGUAUGAGAGAACA
This 693-nucleotide long non-coding RNA is filed under the name Anser brachyrhynchus (Pink-footed goose). RNAcentral's name for it is "lncRNA (ENSABRG00000023000.1)". The record is from RNAcentral. Lineage: Eukaryota; Metazoa; Chordata; Aves; Anseriformes; Anatidae.